Molecule: long non-coding RNA, 530 nt
Organism: Spea bombifrons (plains spadefoot toad)
Lineage: Eukaryota; Metazoa; Chordata; Amphibia; Anura; Pelobatidae
Exons: 2
Source: RefSeq, a predicted model, not a curated record
UUUUUUUUAAAGGGGGGGUCAUUUUCAGUUUCGGUCAAGUGAUAGCUGAAUUUUCGGUCCAGAAUUUUCAUUUCGGUGCAUCCCUAUAUACUAAGCCAGACACUGAAGCAGUAGGCCUACACCACAUCAAUGUUUGGCUUAGUAUAUAGUGAUAGGGGUUAUGCUACAUUAUUGGCAAUGUCUGGCUCAAUGUAUAGUGAUAGGUGUUAUGCUGUACCCCUGUCAAUGGUAUGCAGUUUUUCCCAAUAAAAAAAAAUAGUAAUAUAUAUAUAUAUUGAUCCUUUAUGCAGCCCGGAGCCCCCGCUCAUGAUUCGCUCAUAAUUAAUUUUUGCGGUGAGAAUUUCACCUUUAGAAUAGACCAUGGAGUCAAAAGGGUUGGAAAUAUAUAGCUCCACCACCUUGCAAUGUGAUUUUUUUUUCAGCUCCACCAACUUUAUAUGGACUGUAGAAGCAUAUUGUGCACACAAAAUUUUGGCUCUGGGAAAAAUUUUGCACAACAGAAAUUUUCUGCGCACAUCACCCAAGAAAAA